UACGUAGGUGGCGAGCGUUAUCCGGAAUUAUUGGGCGUAAAGAGGGAGCAGGCGGCAGGAAGGGUCUGUGGUGAAAGAGUGAAGCUUAACUUCAUAAAGCCAUGGAAACCGGCCAGCUAGAGUGAUGAAGAGGAUCGCGGAAUUCCAUGUGUAGCGGUGAAAUGCGUAGAUAUAUGGAGGAACACCAGUGGCGAAGGCGGCGAUCUGGUCAAUGACUGACGCUCAAUCCCGAAAGCGUGGGGAGCAAAUAGG
This 252-nucleotide ribosomal RNA is filed under the name uncultured bacterium. RNAcentral describes it as "partial 16S ribosomal RNA". It matches the Rfam family "Bacterial small subunit ribosomal RNA", at positions 524 to 776 of the family's 1533-position model. The record is from RNAcentral.